This 73-nucleotide transfer RNA is filed under the name Cyphomyrmex costatus. It matches the Rfam family "tRNA". From Rfam's summary of the family: Transfer RNA (tRNA) molecules are approximately 80 nucleotides in length. Their secondary structure includes four short double-helical elements and three loops (D, anti-codon, and T loops). Lineage: Eukaryota; Metazoa; Arthropoda; Insecta; Hymenoptera; Formicidae. The record is from Rfam by way of RNAcentral.
GAUUCGAUAGUCUAAAGGUUUAGGACGCUCGCACGGAAUGCAAGAGAUCCGGGUUCGACUCCCGGUCGAGAUA